GAGGUUGUGGCUCAGAGGAAGAGCAUUCGCCUUGCAAGUGUGAGGCUCUGGGUUUGAUCCUCAGCACCACA
This is a non-coding RNA of Ictidomys tridecemlineatus (thirteen-lined ground squirrel), 71 nucleotides long. Lineage: Eukaryota; Metazoa; Chordata; Mammalia; Rodentia; Sciuridae. The record is from Rfam.